Molecule: non-coding RNA, 73 nt
Organism: Bos taurus (domestic cattle)
Lineage: Eukaryota; Metazoa; Chordata; Mammalia; Artiodactyla; Bovidae
Source: Rfam
UCCCUGGUAGCUCAGACGGUAAAAGCGUCCGCUUGCAAAGCGGGAGACCCGGGUUCAAUCCCUGGGUUUGGAA